RNAcentral lists this ribosomal RNA (497 nucleotides) under uncultured bacterium. RNAcentral's name for it is "partial 16S ribosomal RNA". It matches the Rfam family "Bacterial small subunit ribosomal RNA", at positions 28 to 507 of the family's 1533-position model. The record is from RNAcentral.
GAUGAACGCUGGCGGCGUGCCUAAUACAUGCAAGUCGAGCGGACAGACGAGGAGCUUGCUCCUCUGACGUUAGCGGCGGACGGGUGAGUAACACGUGUAUAACCUACCUAUAAGACUGGGAUAACUUCGGGAAACCGGAGCUAAUACCGGAUAAUAUAUUGAACCGCAUGGUUCAAUAGUGAGAGUCGGUUUUUCUGUCUCUUAUAGAUGGAUCGGCGCCGUAUUAGCUAGUUGGUAAGGUAACGGCUUACCAAGGCAACGAUGCGUAGCCGACCUGAGAGGGGGAUAGGCCACCUGGGAGCGGAGACGGGGACAAGACUCCUACGGGAGGCAGCAGAAGGGAACCUUCCGCAAUAGGGGAAAGCCUGACGGAGUAACGCGGAGUGAGAGAUAAAGGUGUCGCGAGCGUAAAACUCUGUUAUUAGGGAAGAACAAAUGUGUAAGUAAAUAUGCACGUCUUGACGGUACCGAAUCAGAAAGCCACGGCUAACUACGUG